Molecule: ribosomal RNA, 501 nt
Filed under: uncultured bacterium
Lineage: Bacteria
Description: partial 16S ribosomal RNA
Rfam family: Bacterial small subunit ribosomal RNA
Source: RNAcentral
AUUGAACGCCGGCGGCAGGCUUAACACAUGCAAGUCGAGCGGGGGAAGGUAGCUUGCUACCGGACCUAGCGGCGGACGGGUGAGUAAUGCUUAGGAAUCUGCCUAUUAGUGGGGGACAACAUCUCGAAAGGGAUGCUAAUACCGCAUACGUCCUACGGGAGAAAGCAGGGGAUCUUCGGACCUUGCGCUAAUAGAUGAGCCUAAGUCGGAUUAGCUAGUUGGUGGGGUAAAGGCCUACCAAGGCGACGAUCUGUAGCGGGUCUGAGAGGAUGAUCCGCGACACUGGGACUGAGACACGGCCCAGACUCCUACGGGAGGCAGCAGUGGGGAAUAUUGGAAAAUGGGGGGAACCCUGAUCCAGCCAUGCCGCGUGUGUGAAGAAGGCCUUAUGGUUGUAAAGCACUUUAAGCGAGGAGGAGGCUCUUUUGGUUAAUACCCAAGAUGAGUGGACGUUACUCGCAGAAUAAGCACCGGCUAACUCUGUGCCAGCCGCCGCCGUAA